This is a long non-coding RNA of Trichoplusia ni (cabbage looper), 439 nucleotides long. RefSeq lists it as uncharacterized. The record is from RefSeq and is a predicted model, not a curated record. Lineage: Eukaryota; Metazoa; Arthropoda; Insecta; Lepidoptera; Noctuidae. The transcript is spliced from 2 exons.
UGGGCGACCAAUCAGCUGACACAAUUGAAGACAUAUUUUUCCAUGGUGUAAUUAUCUAAAUUACGUGAAUUAUUACAUAAAACUUAUUAAUACAACGUUUUAAGUGAUCAAACUGUUAUUAAAGUGAUUAUAUGACCAACAUCUGUUAUGGAUAUCAAGAAUUAUAUUGCGAUCUGUGACCUGCCUGCCUACCUCUAAACGAAACAUGGAAGAACCUAUACAAAGGAAAAAUCAAAAUAAAGACACACAAAAUAACUUAAAAAGAAAAUAAGCAAUAAUCAAAUCUAAAAUAGUUAAAGAGAUCUAGUCUCAAACGAAAAUAGUGAAAUUAAAAUAAAAAGAAUAUAAAAUAUUUAUUUUUGUUAUUAAAAGUUAUUGAAUAAAUUCCAUUUAACUGUAUUAUAUGAUAAUACAUUUUAUUUAAAGUGUAGUUACCAAA